RNAcentral lists this ribosomal RNA (26 nucleotides) under Sarocladium kiliense. RNAcentral describes it as "partial 28S ribosomal RNA". Lineage: Eukaryota; Fungi; Ascomycota; Sordariomycetes; Hypocreales; Sarocladiaceae. The record is from RNAcentral.
UUGACCUCGGUCAGGAAGGAAUACCC